This 705-nucleotide ribosomal RNA is filed under the name uncultured bacterium. RNAcentral describes it as "bacterial SSU rRNA". It matches the Rfam family "Bacterial small subunit ribosomal RNA", at positions 28 to 767 of the family's 1533-position model. The record is from RNAcentral.
AAUCAACGCUGGCGGCGUGCCUAACACAUGCAAGUCGCACGAGAAAGGGCUUCGGCCUGAGUAAAGUGGCGCACGGGUGAGUAACACGUGAAUCAUCUACCCUCGAGUGGGGAAUAACCUAGAGAAAUCUGGGCUAAUACCGCAUAACACUUACGAGUCAAAGCAGCAAUGCGCUUGGGGAGGAGUUCACGGCCGAUUAGCUAGUUGGCGGGGUAAUGGCCCACCAAGGCGAUGAUCAGUAUCCGGCCUGAGAGGGCGCACGGACACACUGGAACUGAAACACGGUCCAGACUCCUACGGGAGGCAGCAGUGGGGAAUUUUGCGCAAUGGGGGAAACCCUGACGCAGCAACGCCGCGUGGAGGAUGAAGUAUCUUGGUACGUAAACUCCUUUCGAUGGGGAAGAUAAUGACGGUACCCAUAGAAGAAGCCCCGGCUAACUUCGUGCCAGCAGCCGCGGUAAUACGAGGGGGGCAAGCGUUGUUCGGAAUUAUUGGGCGUAAAGGGUGCGUAGGCGGUUUGACAAGUCUUAUGUGAAAUCUUCGGGCUCAACCCGAAGCCUGCAUGAGAAACUGUUGAGCUUGAGUAUGGGAGAGGUGAGUGGAAUUUCCGGUGUAGCGGUGAAAUGCGUAGAUAUCGGAAGGAACACCUGUGGCGAAAGCGGCUCACUGGACCAUAACUGACGCUGAGGCACGAAAGCUAGGGGA